GGGUUGUGAGGUUAAGCGACUAAGCGUACACGGUGGAUGCCCUGGCAGUCAGAGGCGAUGAAGGACGUGCUAAUCUGCGAUAAGCGUCGGUAAGGUGAUAUGAACCGUUAUAACCGGCGAUUUCCGAAUGGGGAAACCCAGUGUGAUUCGUCACACUAUCAUUAACUGAAUCCAUAGGUUAAUGAGGCGAACCGGGGGAACUGAAACAUCUAAGUACCCCGAGGAAAAGAAAUCAACCGAGAUUCCCCCAGUAGCGGCGAGCGAACGGGGAGCAGCCCAGAGCCUGAAUCAGUGUGUGUGUUAGUGGAAGCGUCUGGAAAGGCGUGCGAUACAGGGUGACAGCCCCGUACACAAAAAUGCACAUAUUGUGAGCUCGAUGAGUAGGGCGGGACACGUGGUAUCCUGUCUGAAUAUGGGGGGACCAUCCUCCAAGGCUAAAUACUCCUGACUGACCGAUAGUGAACCAGUACCGUGAGGGAAAGGCGAAAAGAACCCCGGCGAGGGGAGUGAAAAAGAACCUGAAACCGUGUACGUACAAGCAGUGGGAGCACGCUUAGGCGUGUGACUGCGUACCUUUUGUAUAAUGGGUCAGCGACUUAUAUUCUGUAGCAAGGUUAACCGAAUAGGGGAGCCGAAGGGAAACCGAGUCUUAACUGGGCGUUAAGUUGCAGGGUAUAGACCCGAAACCCGGUGAUCUAGCCAUGGGCAGGUUGAAGGUUGGGUAACACUAACUGGAGGACCGAACCGACUAAUGUUGAAAAAUUAGCGGAUGACUUGUGGCU
This 782-nucleotide ribosomal RNA is filed under the name Escherichia coli. Its description in RNAcentral is "partial 23S ribosomal RNA". It matches the Rfam family "Bacterial large subunit ribosomal RNA", at positions 1 to 816 of the family's 2925-position model. The record is from RNAcentral. Lineage: Bacteria; Pseudomonadati; Pseudomonadota; Gammaproteobacteria; Enterobacterales; Enterobacteriaceae.